Molecule: ribosomal RNA, 376 nt
Filed under: uncultured bacterium
Lineage: Bacteria
Description: bacterial SSU rRNA
Rfam family: Bacterial small subunit ribosomal RNA
Source: RNAcentral
GGCCCGCACAAGCGGUGGAGUAUGUGGUUUAAUUCGAUGCAACGCGAAGAACCUUACCAGGGUUUGACAUCCUGCGAAUCUCUUGGAAACAGGAGAGUGCCUUCGGGAACGCAGUGACAGGUGGUGCAUGGCUGUCGUCAGCUCGUGUCGUGAGAUGUUGGGUUAAGUCCCGCAACGAGCGCAACCCACGUCUUUAGUUGCCAGCAUUUAGUUGGGCACUCUAGAGAGACUGCCGGUGAUAAACCGGAGAAGGUGUGGAUGACGUCAAGUCAUCAUGCCCCUUACAUCUGGGCUACACACGUACUACAAUGCUACGGACAAAGAGCAGCAAGUUCGCGAGGACAAGCAAAUCUCAUAAACCGUGGCUCAGUUCAGA